This 415-nucleotide ribosomal RNA is filed under the name uncultured crenarchaeote. RNAcentral describes it as "partial 16S ribosomal RNA". It matches the Rfam family "Archaeal small subunit ribosomal RNA", at positions 330 to 747 of the family's 1478-position model. The record is from RNAcentral. Lineage: Archaea; Thermoproteati; Thermoproteota.
GUGCAGCAGUCGCGAAAACUCCGCAAUACGCGAAAGCGUGACGGGGCCAUCCCGAGUGCCGUCCGCUGAGGAUGGCUUUUCUCUGCUGUAAGAAGGCAGAGGAAUAAGGAGAGGGCAAGUCUGGUGUCAGCCGCCGCGGUAAUACCAGCUCUCCGAGUGGUGGGGAUGUUUAUUGGGCCUGAAGCAUCCGUAGCUGGCUGAGCAAGUUCUCCGUUAAAUCCAGCGAUUUAAUCGUUGGACUGCGGAGGAUACUGUUCGGCUAGGGGGCGGGAGAGGCCGACGGUAUUCUCGGGGUAGGGGUGAAAUCCUAUAAUCCCGGGAAGACCACCAGUGGCGAAGGCUGUCGGCUAGAACGCGCCCGACGGUGAGGGAUGAAAGCUGGGGGAGCGAACCGGAUUAGAUACCCCUGUAGUCC